This 273-nucleotide ribosomal RNA is filed under the name uncultured bacterium. RNAcentral describes it as "partial 16S ribosomal RNA". It matches the Rfam family "Bacterial small subunit ribosomal RNA", at positions 524 to 796 of the family's 1533-position model. The record is from RNAcentral.
UACGAAUGGUGCAAGCGUUAAUCGGAAUUACUGGGCGUAAAGCGCGCGUAGGUGGUUCGUUAAGUUGAAUGUGCAAGCCCCGGGCUCAACCUGGGAACUGCAUCCAAAACUGGCGAGCUAGAGUAUGGCAGAGGGUGGUGGAAGUUCCUGUGUAGCGGUGAAAGGCGGAGAUAUAGGAAGGACCACCAGUGGCGAAGGCGACCACAUGGGAUAAUACGGAAACGGAGGUGCGCACGCGUUGGGAGCACACAGGAGGCGAUAACACCGGAGUCC